GCCACGGUGUUGGAAUGGUAGACAAGCUGGUCUCAAAAACCAGUGGCUGCAUAGGCCGUGAGAGUUCGAGUCUCUCCCGUGGCA
This 84-nucleotide transfer RNA is filed under the name Candidatus Microgenomates bacterium. RNAcentral's name for it is "tRNA-Leu". It matches the Rfam family "tRNA". Rfam says of the family: Transfer RNA (tRNA) molecules are approximately 80 nucleotides in length. Their secondary structure includes four short double-helical elements and three loops (D, anti-codon, and T loops). Further hydrogen bonds mediate the characteristic L-shaped molecular structure. tRNAs have two regions of fundamental functional importance: the anti-codon, which is responsible for specific mRNA codon recognition, and the 3' end, to which the tRNAs corresponding amino acid is attached (by aminoacyl-tRNA synthetases). tRNAs cope with the degeneracy of the genetic code in two manners: having more than one tRNA (with a specific anti-codon) for a particular amino acid; and 'wobble' base-pairing, i.e. permitting non-standard base-pairing at the 3rd anti-codon position. Lineage: Bacteria; Candidatus Microgenomatota. The record is from RNAcentral.